Molecule: ribosomal RNA, 253 nt
Filed under: uncultured bacterium
Lineage: Bacteria
Description: partial 16S ribosomal RNA
Rfam family: Bacterial small subunit ribosomal RNA
Source: RNAcentral
UACGUAGGGUGCAAGCGUUGUCCGGAAUUAUUGGGCGUAAAGAGCUCGUAGGCGGUUCGUCGCGUCGGCUGUGAAAUCCCGAGGCUCAACCUCGGGUCUGCAGUCGAUACGGGCGGACUGGAGUACUGCAGGGGAGACUGGAAUUCCUGGUGUAGCGGUGGAAUGCGCAGAUAUCAGGAGGAACACCGGUGGCGAAGGCGGGUCUCUGGGCAGUAACUGACGCUGAGGAGCGAAAGCGUGGGGAGCAAACAGG